GCAAGACGGACAUAAGCCUUCUUCUCACCAUUGGGCCAGAUCAAUGGGUUGACCUUGGCCACAUCAAUAUCAUACAGUUUCUUGACAGCCUGCUUGAUCUGAUGUUUGUUGACCUUGACAUCUACAAUGAAGACCACAAGUCUGAACUCCAGACACCAUA
Long non-coding RNA from Chelonia mydas (Green sea turtle), 160 nucleotides. RefSeq lists it as uncharacterized. The record is from RefSeq and is a predicted model, not a curated record. NCBI's taxonomy places the organism in Eukaryota, Metazoa, Chordata, Testudines, Cheloniidae. The transcript is spliced from 4 exons.